Molecule: transfer RNA, 71 nt
Filed under: Erwinia phage KEY
Lineage: Duplodnaviria; Heunggongvirae; Uroviricota; Caudoviricetes; Demerecviridae
Description: tRNA-Trp
Rfam family: tRNA
About the family: Transfer RNA (tRNA) molecules are approximately 80 nucleotides in length. Their secondary structure includes four short double-helical elements and three loops (D, anti-codon, and T loops).
Source: RNAcentral
AGGAGUAUGCUAAGGUAGCCUGACGGACUCCAAAUCCUGAUGCUAGAGUUCGAUUCUCUAUACUCCUGCCA